GUGGCAUAUGGAGGUUCCCAGGCUAGGGGUUCAAUCGGAGCCACAGCCACAGCCACACCAGAUCCGAGCCGUGUCUGCAACCUCCACCACAGCUCAUGGCAAUGCCGGAUCCUUAACCCACUGAGCAAGGCCAGGGAUGGAACCUGCACCCUCAUGGUUCCUACAUGGAUUCGUUAACCUCUGAGCUAUGAGGGGAACUCCUACCUCAGGACAUUUAUACUCUUUCCUGACAGUUCACCUGAUAGGCUUUGCCUAAAACUUCCAAUUCUCAGCCUAAAACUCACCUCCUUAAGGAUGCCUUCCUUCCUGCCCACCCUCUCAAAGCCCGCUCUCUCUGCACUUAAUCCCAAUAUGGAGUUUCUUUUGUUUAUCGUAUGUCUCCCUGGUUUCCCCAAGUCAGCCCCAGACUCAGUACCAUCUGACCAGGGAUGUGGUCUCUUGUCAGUGGUCGCCACCAGGGUGCCAAAUAUAUAGUAGACACUCAAACACGUGUUGAAUGAAAGACUAUAUGAAUGAAUGGCGGAGGGGGUGUUGGGCAAAGGCUUGGAAGAGAAGGAAAAGCCUGGGAAAGAGGUAGGAAGGGAGCAAGGGUUGCUGAAGCUGUAUAGGAAGGCCAGCUGAGGGUAACAACAGGACCCUCUUCCCACCCCCAGAGUUAGACAACUCGCUCUCUCUGCAGACUGUCAUCCCACCUUGUUUAUUUAAUUUUCAGGUGUUCUUAAGAAGUCUCAAGUCAGUGGAUUUUCAUCCCCAGUUACAGAGGGAGAUUUGAUGCACCUGACUUGUGAAACAUCUGCAGCUCCCUAUUUCACAGCAUUUCAUUCCUAUGUGAGUGAAGAUGCAAAUGAAAAAAAAUAAGAUUCUUGACCUGGAGACAUUUAUCUCUUCAGGGGGAUAAAACAAUUUAGGGAGAACAUUUUCCUAUAAAGAGGAAUGCAUGACAUGGUGUACACCCCAAAGCGGUUAUUACAAAGGAAUAGUUUGUUUUCUGUAUACUUCAAGCAUUUGGCCUGCUCAGUAUAUGAACACUGAGCCAAAUUCCAGGCUCAGAUUACAGGGCCCUGACUCGGGUUUCCCGAAUGCACUGGCCUAGCUUGGAGGCUGAUACUGUGCCUGUUGCACGAGGUUGCUGGUGACGUUGAUGCUCCUGGCUUGGGGGUCAUGUAAACAGCUGUCUCUUAAAGGCCCACACCAGCCCCACCAGGGAGCCAGGCCUCUCUGGUCUCACUCUGCAGAUGAGGAUCAAGGCCAGAGCAGGGGGCAGAGGUGUCCCCCCCGCCACCUCACCUCCUGGGUUCCUGGUCAUGGGUGAGCAGGUGGGCUAGACUGCGGCUCCCACACUGGCUCGACAUUGGUUCAUGCACACAAAACCCCUUUCACUGGCUCGGCUUCUGCUGGGCGGCCCUCGCUGCUCCUGAGGUUUGGUUAACCCCGUUAAGAAAACAAACAGCUCCUGGGCUGUGGGCUGGUGGGGGAGCCACUGGGCACAGAGGCUGAAUUCUCUCUGGCCUCCCUCCGAGGGCGAGCCUAGGGGCCCAGCAACCUGGGGCAGGGGUUGUGCAGAGCUGGUCCUGGUCUGCUCCUCCAGGGGCUCUGGUCACCUGGGAAGCCUUGGACAAAGUCCAUGCCUCAGGGUCCUUAUCUGUACCACAGAGAGCUCUGCGUGGAGUAAAUGGUGUCAUGCUUCCAAUAAGCCACAGCCACAGCCUUGUGGGACCCGAGCUGAGUCUGCAACCACACCACAGCUCACGGCAACGCCAGAUCCUUAACCCUCUGAGCGGGGCCAGGGAAUGAACCCUCGUCCUCAUGGAUGCUAGUCGGGUUCCUUACUCCUGAACCACACCAGGAACUCCAAAUGCCAAAGCUGUGGGGUAUUGGCAACUACAUAUGGUUCAGCCCAUGUAAUGUUAGUGAUUCAUCUUUGAAACAGCAAAAACAAACUCUUCUAUUCCUCUUUUAGUAGCCUGCGGUUGCAAGUUUAGCUUAAAAAAACAAAAACAACAAAACAACAACAAAACCUAUUCAUUAUUCCAACUACUAACUCUGUGAUCAGGCUUUUCCUGAUUUUCUCAAUUAUUGUGCAACUAAAAAAGGGUGAGAGAAUGAAUUGGAAGCAGAAGUUGAUGUAAAUCAGCAACUAUCCUGUUAACAGCCUCAGAGUCCUUACUGCCUUAGGAAUAAGUACAUCUUACACAUUUGAAAUAAUAAAGUAACAAUUUUAUGUUG
RNAcentral lists this long non-coding RNA (2226 nucleotides) under Sus scrofa (pig). Its description in RNAcentral is "lncRNA (ENSSSCG00015030633.1)". The record is from RNAcentral. Lineage: Eukaryota; Metazoa; Chordata; Mammalia; Artiodactyla; Suidae.